GGUUAGGUGGCGCAAUGGUAGCGUGUGGUCCUCCUAUAAAAGGGAGAAAUCACCAAGACUGAGGUUGUGGGUUCGAGUCCCAUCCUGAUCG
Molecule: non-coding RNA, 91 nt
Organism: Apodospora peruviana
Lineage: Eukaryota; Fungi; Ascomycota; Sordariomycetes; Sordariales; Lasiosphaeriaceae
Source: the annotation of a GenBank genome assembly